This is a long non-coding RNA of Ochotona curzoniae (black-lipped pika), 449 nucleotides long. RefSeq lists it as uncharacterized. Lineage: Eukaryota; Metazoa; Chordata; Mammalia; Lagomorpha; Ochotonidae. The record is from RefSeq and is a predicted model, not a curated record. The transcript is spliced from 2 exons.
AGGAUGAGAGAGGACUGUUGUGAGGAGUCCAGGACAGCAAAGUGAGCAGAACGUGUGGCCAGAAGGAUUGCAGCGUUGUUGAAGCCGAGGUGCAGAAGGAUGGAACUGGAAAAAUAGGAAACAAAUAUUAGAGAACCUGAUGCUGGACUGGAGAUGCUGAUAGGUACUGAAGUAGAAUUGGCCAUGGCAACAGCCACGUGGGACUCAAGAGAAGUUCAGCCCUGACUCCAAAGACCAGCCUUCCUCUUCUCAGAUGAGAUGCUGAUUUCAGUUGCCUUCAUCAGGUCACAGGGAGGAAGCCGAAGGCAAACUGGCACUCCAGGCAUGUGUUCUUCAAUGGUUGAAAAUGUGGGGAGAAAAUGAAACCCUGUGCACUGUCAGUGGAAAAUGGUACAACCUCUCUUGUAAACUCUAUGUAGGGUCCUCAAAAAAUUAAAAAUGGAAUCUCA